UACGUAUGGUGCAAGCGUUAUCCGGAUUUACUGGGUGUAAAGGGAGCGUAGACGGAGUGGCAAGUCUGAUGUGAAAACCCGGGGCUCAACCCCGGGACUGCAUUGGAAACUGUCAAUCUAGAGUACCGGAGAGGUAAGCGGAAUUCCUAGUGUAGCGGUGAAAUGCGUAGAUAUUAGGAGGAACACCAGUGGCGAAGGCGGCUUACUGGACGGUAACUGACGUUGAGGCUCGAAAGCGUGGGGAGCAAACAGG
Molecule: ribosomal RNA, 253 nt
Filed under: Mediterraneibacter faecis JCM 15917
Lineage: Bacteria; Bacillati; Bacillota; Clostridia; Lachnospirales; Lachnospiraceae
Also listed under: 2 other names
Description: [Ruminococcus] faecis JCM 15917 partial 16S ribosomal RNA
Rfam family: Bacterial small subunit ribosomal RNA
Source: RNAcentral